AGGACGAACGCUGGCGGCGUGCUUAACACAUGCAAGUCGAGCGGAAAGGCCCUUCGGGGUACUCGAGCGGCGAACGGGUGAGUAACACGUGGGCAACCUGCCCUUAGCUCUGGGAUAGCUCCGGGAAACCGGAAUUAAUACCGGAUAUGACCUAGGCCGACAUCGGCCGUGGUGGAAAGUUUUUCGGCUAGGGAUGGACUCGCGGCCUAUCAGCUAGUUGGUGGGGUAAUGGCCUACCAAGGCGACGACGGGUAGCCGGCCUGAGAGGGCGACCGGCCACACUGGGACUGAGACACGGCCCAGACUCCUACGGGAGGCAGCAGUGGGGAAUCUUGCGCAAUGGGCGAAAGCCUGACGCAGCGACGCCGCGUGGGGGAUGAAGGCCUUCGGGUUGUAAACCCCUUUCAGCAGGACGAAGCGAAAGUGACGGUACCUGCAGAAGAAGCGACCGGCUAACGUACGCGCCAGCAGCCGC
This 475-nucleotide ribosomal RNA is filed under the name uncultured bacterium. RNAcentral's name for it is "SSU rRNA". It matches the Rfam family "Bacterial small subunit ribosomal RNA", at positions 26 to 518 of the family's 1533-position model. The record is from RNAcentral.